RNAcentral lists this small RNA (500 nucleotides) under uncultured Glomus. RNAcentral's name for it is "SSU rRNA". It matches the Rfam family "Eukaryotic small subunit ribosomal RNA", at positions 569 to 1073 of the family's 1831-position model. Lineage: Eukaryota; Fungi; Glomeromycota; Glomeromycetes; Glomerales; Glomeraceae. The record is from RNAcentral.
AGCAGCCGCGGUAAUUCCAGCUCCAAUAGCGUAUAUUAAAGUUGUUGCAGUUAAAAAGCUCGUAGUUGAAUUUCGGGGUCAGUAGGUCGGUCGUGCCACAGGUAUGCACUGGUCUCACUGAUUCCUCCUUCCUGAUGAACCGGAAUGCCAUUAAUUUGGUGUUGCGGGGAGACUGGACUGUUACUUUGAAAAAAUUAGAGUGUUUAAAGCAGGCUAACGCUUGAAUACAUUAGCAUGGAAUAACGGAAUAGGACGUUCGAUCUUAUUUUGUUGGUUUCUAAGAUUGACGUAAUGAUUAAUAGGGAUAGUUGGGGGCAUUAGUAUUCAAUUGUCAGAGGUGAAAUUCUUGGAUUUAUUGAAGACUAACUACUGCGAAAGCAUUUGCCAAGGAUGUUUUCAUUAAUCAAGAACGAAAGUUAGGGGAUCGAAGACGAUCAGAUACCGUCGUAGUCUUAACCAUAAACUAUGCCGACUAGGGAUCGGAUGAUGUUAAUUUUUAA